CGCUUCACGCUGAUGACGUCACCGCUAGCGCACUCACACAGCGUUGAGUCUUUCUGAGGAGUUUUGCACCUCCUACCACACAGUGAAGCUCCUCCCACAGCAAUUCACCAGUUAAUGCUGAAUAUUUCCACAAGUGAAGAUGACAGAGUUGGCGAAAGAACAUUGAAGAACAUGAGUGAUCCAGAACCCUGCAGAAUUAAACAGGAAGAUACUGAAGAACCAAUAGGGCAUAGAAAAUGAGUAAGAGGAUCCAGCCUCAACACUGCG
RNAcentral lists this long non-coding RNA (267 nucleotides) under Sinocyclocheilus anshuiensis. Its description in RNAcentral is "lncRNA (ENSSANG00000033716.1)". The record is from RNAcentral. Lineage: Eukaryota; Metazoa; Chordata; Actinopteri; Cypriniformes; Cyprinidae.